Silurus meridionalis is the source of this 293-nucleotide long non-coding RNA. RefSeq lists it as uncharacterized. Lineage: Eukaryota; Metazoa; Chordata; Actinopteri; Siluriformes; Siluridae. The record is from RefSeq and is a predicted model, not a curated record. The transcript is spliced from 3 exons.
CAGAGUUUCUACGGUGGCUUUGCCCCCCUCUUUACUCUUCAGUGUACCCUUGAGGUACAUCUCUGCGGCAUCGACCACAAAGACGGCUGUUUUGGCAUCAAAAGGAUUUCUGGCAUUGAAGAGGCACUAAAGUUGGAUGUGGAAAAGCACUUAGGUCUCUCUGGUGUUCACUUUCAAGAUGACUUUGCCUCACCUUUCCAACAUCUCUACUCUUGGCUCUCAGCUUGUUGACCUGGGAUUCAGCAAUGUCAGCACGCUCCUGAGCUUCUUCCAUCUCAUGCUGGACUUUCCUG